CCAAAAUAAACAGAAUGACCUGUACCUUAUUAGCACACAAACGCCCAAAGAAGUAAUCCACACCUCUAAGCAACCAAACGAAUCCCCUUUUCUAAGAACAUUACAUCCGUCACAAACAACAACCCUAAACCACACCCAAGACUUCCAUAUAUCCAUAAGGUGUAAUACAUCAUGCAUACCAAAAUUUCUUGCUUAAGUCUUCCUCAAAACUAACAUCUGCAAGUCAUAAACUGAUCGACAAGUAUUGGUCAGACCGAAACCAAUACAACACACAACUAUUAGGGGUGGGCAUCGAUAAGUUCGGUUCGAUUAUUAAUAUUAUCGGUUUAACAUAUCGAUUAUUGGUUU
This 348-nucleotide long non-coding RNA is filed under the name Nicotiana benthamiana. Its description in RNAcentral is "long non-coding RNA (NBEN_LNC009184)". Lineage: Eukaryota; Viridiplantae; Streptophyta; Magnoliopsida; Solanales; Solanaceae. The record is from RNAcentral.